AAUGAACGCUGGCGGCAGGCCUAAAACAUGCAAGUCGAACGCCUGUAGCAAUACAGGAGUGGCGCACGGGUGCGUAACACGUGGGAAUAUGCCUAUUGGUACGGAACAGCUCCGGGAAACUGGAAUUAAUACCGUAUGGUCCCUUCGGGGUAAAGAUUUACCGCCAAUAGAUUAGCCCGCGGUGGAUUAGCUAGUUGGUAGGGUAAUGGCCUACCAAGGCGACGAUCCAUAGCUGGUCUGGGAGGACGAUCAGCCACACUGGGACUGAGACACGGCCCAGACUCCUACGGGAGGCAGCAGUUAGGAAUAUUGGACAAUGGGCGCAAGCCUGAUCCAGCCAUGCCGCGUGAGUGAUGAAGGCCUUCGGGUUGUAAAACUCUUUAGCCGAUGAAUAUAAUGACUGUAGUCGGAAAAUAAGCCCCGGCUAACUUCGUGCCAGCAGCCGCGGUAA
RNAcentral lists this ribosomal RNA (451 nucleotides) under uncultured bacterium. RNAcentral describes it as "partial 16S ribosomal RNA". It matches the Rfam family "Bacterial small subunit ribosomal RNA", at positions 29 to 523 of the family's 1533-position model. The record is from RNAcentral.